GCCAGCAGACCCCAGCACUGUGUGAAGACUCUCCAAAAAUCUCCCCACUGGAAACAGACACAGAUGAGGACGCAGGGAUGCACACCCAGCGGGCACCGGACACAUGUCUGUGGAGGAGAUGCACAGUGGCUCACAGAUGCCUCAGAGCCGCUGCGCUUGUGAGGCCUCCAGUCGUGCGGUGCUGUCAGAAAUCCAGUGUCUGAGACGCCAGAUCUCCAGAGGUGCCAGCUUCGUAAGCCCCCUCUUCAUGCGCUGCCUGUUGCCUAAAUGCCCU
This is a long non-coding RNA of Talpa occidentalis (Iberian mole), 274 nucleotides long. RefSeq lists it as uncharacterized. NCBI's taxonomy places the organism in Eukaryota, Metazoa, Chordata, Mammalia, Eulipotyphla, Talpidae. The record is from RefSeq and is a predicted model, not a curated record. The transcript has 3 exons.